UCGUAGCUCAAUUGGAUAGAGCAUCUGACUACGGAUCAGAAGGUUGUGAGUUCGAAUCCCGCC
This 63-nucleotide transfer RNA is filed under the name human gut metagenome. It matches the Rfam family "tRNA", at positions 7 to 64 of the family's 71-position model. Rfam says of the family: Transfer RNA (tRNA) molecules are approximately 80 nucleotides in length. Their secondary structure includes four short double-helical elements and three loops (D, anti-codon, and T loops). The record is from RNAcentral.